This 444-nucleotide ribosomal RNA is filed under the name uncultured bacterium. Its description in RNAcentral is "bacterial SSU rRNA". It matches the Rfam family "Bacterial small subunit ribosomal RNA", at positions 354 to 796 of the family's 1533-position model. The record is from RNAcentral.
GUAGGGAAUAUUGGGCAAUGGUCGGAAGACUGACCCAGCCAUGCCGCGUGCAGGAAGACGGCCCUCUGGGUUGUAAACUGCUUUUAUCUGGGAAGAAAAAGGCCAUGCGUGGCAAAUUGCCGGUACCAGAUGAAUAAGCACCGGCUAACUCCGUGCCAGCAGCCGCGGUAAUACGGAGGGUGCAAGCGUUGUCCGGAUUUAUUGGGUUUAAAGGGUGCGUAGGCGGCUGAUUAAGGCAGCGGUGAAAGACUCCGGCUUAACCGGAGCGGUGCCGUUGAUACUGGUUAGCAUGAGUGUUGGAGGGGUACAUGGAAUUGAUGGUGUAGCGGUGAAAUGCAUAGAUACCAUCAGGAACACCGAUAGCGAAGGCAUUGUACUGGCCAACAACUGACGCUGAUGCACGAAAGUGUGGGGAUCGAACAGGAUUAGAAACCCCAGUAGUCC